AAGUACCCUUCCAAGAGAUUGGAGAUGAACUCCCCCAAGGUAUAAUAUAGACCUCUUCAAGUCUCCUCUGUGUCAGUGCACACGCUCACCCAGAUAUAAAUUAGCAUCAUGGAUGCAGAGUGUCACAUUAGCACCAGGUUUCCCAUUCAGCUGAUGUAUCACUUGAGCAUACUUCCUUUGUACUUUCCCCUUCGCCUUCAAAGGCUGUUCUCAGGUCUUAUUUUCCUUCCCAGAAAUGUGAGAUUGGUUUUAUGCUGUUGCUGUUAGAGUCAUCCCCCACUUAGGGUCUAAUCCGCUGGGGCUUUGUGCCUGUUUGUCAGGAACUUCGAGCAUAUAUUAAGACAUUUUACAGGGAGGAAGCUCUAUUUUGACAAUGAUUAUGCCUAUUAUCUCUUUUAAUAUAUGUAAAUUGUUGUGGAGAAACAAACCAUUUUAUGCCACUUGAAUCCUUUUCAGGGAAAUCUGAAUCCUUUUUGUGUAGCUUAGAUGUAUUACUAUCAUUUUCCCUUCACGGAGUUGAAUAAACACACUUAAAUCAGACCUUUGUUAGUGUACCCUCUUGUACUGUUGCCCUAAUAAAUUGUUGUGAAUUUAGUCUUUGAAAUCCAUAUUUGGUGACAUUUGCAAAUUCCUCUGUAGUCACUUCCAGAAUUGAAAUU
RNAcentral lists this long non-coding RNA (659 nucleotides) under Bos taurus (domestic cattle). RNAcentral describes it as "long non-coding RNA NONBTAT023439". Lineage: Eukaryota; Metazoa; Chordata; Mammalia; Artiodactyla; Bovidae. The record is from RNAcentral.